Tritrichomonas musculus is the source of this 73-nucleotide non-coding RNA. The record is from the annotation of a GenBank genome assembly. NCBI's taxonomy places the organism in Eukaryota, Parabasalia, Tritrichomonadida, Tritrichomonadidae.
UCUCUUGUAGUUUAACGGAAUAUGACAUAGGUCUGAUAAACCUGUAAUGGUGGUUCGACUCCACCCAAGAGAA